AUACGGAGGUUCCAAGCGUUGUUCGGAAUUACUGGGCGUAAAGGGAGCGCAGGUGGGCGGUCCAGUCCAAAGUGGAAGCCCGGGGCUUAACCCCGGAAGGGCUUUGGAUACUAGCCGUCUUGAGUACGCGAGAGGAAGGCGGAAUUCAGGGUGUAGCGGUGAAAUGCUUAGAUAUCCUGAGGAACACCGGUGGCGAAAGCGGCCUUCUGGCGCGAAACUGACACUGAGGCUCGAAGGGGUGGGGAGCAAACUGGAUUAGAUACCCCGGUAGUCCACGCCGUAAACGUUGUGCACUAGGUGUGGGAGGUAUCGACCCCUUCCGUGCCGCAGCUAACGCAUUAAGUGCACCGCCUGGGGAGUACGGUCGCAAGACUGAA
This 377-nucleotide ribosomal RNA is filed under the name uncultured bacterium. RNAcentral's name for it is "bacterial SSU rRNA". It matches the Rfam family "Bacterial small subunit ribosomal RNA", at positions 523 to 898 of the family's 1533-position model. The record is from RNAcentral.